RNAcentral lists this ribosomal RNA (515 nucleotides) under uncultured bacterium. Its description in RNAcentral is "bacterial SSU rRNA". It matches the Rfam family "Bacterial small subunit ribosomal RNA", at positions 1000 to 1506 of the family's 1533-position model. The record is from RNAcentral.
CUGGAAACAGGAGUAAGCUGCCUUCGGGUGAAACUUGCACAGGUGCUGCAUGGCUGUCGUCAGCUCGUGCUGUGAAGUGUCGGGUUAAGUCCCUUAACGAGCGAAACCCCUAUCGUUAGUUGCCAGCGGGUCAUGCCGGGGACUCUAGCGAGACCGCCGACGUCAAGUCGGAGGAAGGUGGGGACGACGUCAAGUCAUCAUGGCCUUUAUGCCCAGGGAUUCUCACGUCCUACAAUGGCCGUUACAGAGCGAAGCGAGACCGCGAGGUGGAGCAAAUCGCACAAAGGCGGCCUCAGUUCGGAUUGGAGUCUGCAACUCGACUCCAUGAGGCUGGAAUCGCUAGUAAUCGCGGAUCAGCUACGCCGCGGUGAAUGUGUUCCUGAGCCUUGUACACACCGCCCGUCAAGUCAUGGAAGCUGGGAGUACCCGAAGUCCGUUUAGCUAACCCGCAAGGGAGGCGACGGCCGACGGUAAGCCCGGUGACUGGGACUAAGUCGUAACAAGGUAGCCGUAGC